Molecule: ribosomal RNA, 466 nt
Filed under: uncultured bacterium
Lineage: Bacteria
Description: partial 16S ribosomal RNA
Rfam family: Bacterial small subunit ribosomal RNA
Source: RNAcentral
GACGAACGCUGGCGGCGCGCCUAACACAUGCAAGUCGAACGAGCGAGCGAGAGCUUGCUUUCUCAAUCGAGUGGCGAACGGGUGAGUAACGCGUGAGGAACCUGCCUCAAAGAGGGGGACAACAGCUGGAAACGACUGCUAAUACCGCAUAAGCCCACAGGUCGGCAUCGACCAGAGGGAAAAGGGGCGAUCGGCUUUGAGAUGGCCUCGCGUCCGAUUAGCUAGUUGGUGAGGUAACGGCCCACCAAGGCAACGAUCGGUAGCCGGACUGAGAGGUUGAACGGCCACAUUGGGACUGAGACACGGCCCAGACUCCUACGGGAGGCAGCAGUGGGGAAUAUUGCACAAUGGGGGAAACCCUGAUGCAGCGACGCCGCGUGGAGGAAGAAGGUCUUCGGAUUGUAAACUCCUGUUGUUGAGGAAGAUAAUGACGGUACUCAACAAGGAAGUGACGGCUAACUACGUG